UGGACUGAUGAAAUGAAUGUGAGUAUCAAGUCCUCCUGCUGUCACGAUAAGCCCCUCACCAGCUAUUACCUCUGUUCCUGCUCCAAUCACGAGAUUUUCAUCAACACCAUCCAUUAUUGCAGGAUUUCCUGCUUUUCCGAUGCCACAGAUCUUUCCAUCCUUUAUGCCUAUAUCCGCCUUUACGAUACCCCAAUGAUCAACUAUGACAGCACUGGUGAUCACUGUAUCGGGACAAUUAUCAUCCCUCACCUUACACGACUGUCCCAUUCCGUCUCU
Molecule: small RNA, 276 nt
Filed under: uncultured Agathobacter sp.
Lineage: Bacteria; Bacillati; Bacillota; Clostridia; Lachnospirales; Lachnospiraceae
Description: 5' ureB small RNA
Rfam family: 5' ureB small RNA
Source: RNAcentral